UUCCGGAGUGGGCAUGCCGCAUGACAAGGGCCACCCAGAACUGGCUCAACUCCAAUCAAUCCAAGUUUCCGGAGGAGAUCACCCAGUUCCUCAUGCUAGAGCAAGUUUUCAAUGGGCUCCCCAAUGACAAGGCGACGACACAUUAGUUUGUCAUCCAUAUCAACUUUCGAUGCCAUUUACUGCGCCUACCAUGGUGACCAUGGGUAACAGGGAAUCAGGGUUUGAUUCCUGAGAGGGAGCCUGAGAAACAGCUACCACAUUCAAGGAAGGCAGCAGGCACGCAAAUGACCCACUCCCGACGCGGAAGGUAGUGACGA
This is a non-coding RNA of Pelobates cultripes (western spadefoot toad), 317 nucleotides long. NCBI's taxonomy places the organism in Eukaryota, Metazoa, Chordata, Amphibia, Anura, Pelobatidae. The record is from the annotation of a GenBank genome assembly.